GCCAGGUGUGGUGGCGUGUGCCUGUAAUCCCCGCUACUUGGGAGGCCGAGGCAGGAGAAUCACUUGAACCCAGGAGUCAGAGAUUGCAGUGAGCCGAGAUCGUGCCACUGCACUCCAGCCUGGGCAACAGAGUGAGACUCUGUCUCAA
Molecule: non-coding RNA, 148 nt
Filed under: Nomascus leucogenys (northern white-cheeked gibbon)
Lineage: Eukaryota; Metazoa; Chordata; Mammalia; Primates; Hylobatidae
Source: Rfam by way of RNAcentral